AUGGCUCAGGAUGAACGCUGGCGGCGUGCCUAACACAUGCAAGUCGAGCGAUUCUCUUCGGAGAAGAGCGGCGGACGGGUGAGUAACGCGUGGGUAACCUGCCUCAUACACAUGGAUAACAUACCGAAAGGUAUGCUAAUACAGGAUAACAUAAGAGAUUCACAUGGAUUUCUUAUCAAAGCUCCGGCGGUAUGAGAUGGACCCGCGUCUGAUUAGCUAGUUGGUAAGGUAACGGCUUACCAAGGCGACGAUCAGUAGCCGACCUGAGAGGGUGAUCGGCCACAUUGGAACUGAGACACGGUCCAAACUCCUACGGGAGGCAGCAGUGGGGAAUAUUGCACAAUGGGCGAAAGCCUGAUGCCAGCAACGCCGCGUGAGUGAUGAAGGCUUUCGGGUCGUAAAACUCUGUCCUCAAGGAAGAUAAUGACGGUACUUGAGGAGGAAGCCCCGGCUAACUACGUGCCAGCAGCCGC
This 473-nucleotide ribosomal RNA is filed under the name uncultured bacterium. RNAcentral's name for it is "bacterial SSU rRNA". It matches the Rfam family "Bacterial small subunit ribosomal RNA", at positions 19 to 518 of the family's 1533-position model. The record is from RNAcentral.